Bubalus bubalis (water buffalo) is the source of this 1073-nucleotide non-coding RNA. Lineage: Eukaryota; Metazoa; Chordata; Mammalia; Artiodactyla; Bovidae. The record is from the annotation of a RefSeq genome assembly.
UUUGAGCUUCUGGGGGAAGGGGCGUGGCCCCUGAGUGACAAGUUGGCUCUGGAGCCUGGCAGGGAGAGUGACAUCUCAGAAGGACUCCCUGGAGAGCCCCUCUCCCCUCUCAUCCACACACACACCAGAGGGCCCUCUGCAACCCCACCCCCGCCAUGAGCCCCUGCCUCCUGGGCUGUGUGGUCUUCUGUCUCCUACAGGCAGGGGCGGUCCAUGCUGGGGUCACUCAGGACCCCAGAUUCCAGGUCGUGAGGUCAGGACAGAAAGCGACACUGACAUGUACUCAGGAUCUGAAACACGGUUAUAUGUACUGGUACCGACAAGACGUGGGACGCGGAAUGAGGCUGAUCCAUUACUCAAAUGGCCCUCCCGACACACAGACGGGAGAUGUAACCGAGGGCUACAGCGUCUCCAGACCAAGCACAGAGGACUUCCCUCUCACACUGGAGUCUGCCAACCGCUCCCAGACAUCUGUGUACUUCUGCGCCAGCAGUUACUCCACAGCGCUGCAGGGUCACCUCCUCUCUGUGCAAAAAGGCAAGGCAGCCCCUUGCUUGUAGGCUCCUAGCACCAGCAGCCUCAGGGCUUUGCUGCCACGUGCCUGCAGUGUGACCCUGAGUGUGUGGUCUGUGCUGGCCCGGACCUCACUCCAGGCCAUGUGGAUAUGUGUCCACCAUCCAUUGCUGUCUUUUCUCUGUAUCCUCCCUGUGAACCAGGAGUUUCCCCCGCUCUGACUCCUAGUCAUCACCUGAGCCUGAGACCUCCAGGAGGGAAGGUUGUUUGUAAACUAGAUAAAAAGAGGCCCUCGUGUCCCACCUCAGGCAGCUCAUCGCUGUCUCUCUGGAAGGUUCUCCCCCAGCCUGGCUCUCGCGUGCUCUCUUCUCUUGCCCACCUUUCCUGGGUGGGUAAGUCACUCCUCUCCCACCUUCCUGGCCCUUUCUACUCCAGCCACAUUGUUCCUCCUUCAUCUGAGUCACGAAAGUGAAAGUCGCUCAGUCAUGUCCUCAUCUUUGCGACCCCAUGGACUGUGUAGUCCCUGGAAUUCUCCAGGCCAGAAUACUGGAGUGGGCAGC